This 3680-nucleotide long non-coding RNA is filed under the name Homo sapiens (human). Its description in RNAcentral is "HSALNT0322765". Lineage: Eukaryota; Metazoa; Chordata; Mammalia; Primates; Hominidae. The record is from RNAcentral.
GUGGCUUCUAAAAACUAUGCUGCCUGGGCCUAUCCUGACAGAUUGAGUUAACAGGUGUUGGGCAGGGUCCUGACAUCACUAGUACGGCACAGCUCCCAGGUGAUUCUAAUGUGGGCCAGGUUAAAGAGCCAGGUCUGGUAUUGCGGUGGAGUCAGAGGACUCUGGAGGUAGACAAUUCAGCCAUGGUGCACCAGCUCUGCUAUCUAUGUGAACUGGGGUGAGUUAUUUGACCUCUCUGAGGCUUGGUUUUCUAGUUUGGACAAUGAGAGCAAGCAUAGCUAUUGUGCAGGGCUAUUGUAAAGAUUACAUGCAUUAAUAAGGCAAAUUAAGUGCCUAAUGCAGUGCCUAGCACAUGGGCGGUACCAAAUAACUGCCAGACUCUUCUUCUAAUACUUCAAAGUGUCUUCACAUCUGCUUUGUGAUUUAAUGUUCACUUCAACCUUGUGGGAUAGGAGAAGAAUACGGGCUUGCAAGUUUGGGUGUCUAUAGGUCUGGCUGAUUUAGACUUUCAUAUCAUUUCAUUAUUAAAAUAAUUCCAUAUCCUCUCUGUCCUCUGGAGAAUCUCAGGUUCUCAGUCCGUGGAGCUCUUUUCUCUACACAUUCCCUUAGUGAUCUCAUCCAAUCUGAUAGUCUAAAAUAACAUCCAUAGCCUGCAAACUUCAGCCUGGAUCAGGAUUCCAGACUCCACUGGAUGUCAAAAAGACAUAUCAAACUUCACAUGUGCAAAUCCAAACUCUUGAUCUGUUCCCACAUGACUUUCAACCACUAACAUCUGCUCCUCUGCAGUCUUCCCUAAGCCAGUAAAUGGAUCCUUACACCCCUCAGGCCAAACAUCUUGAAUUCCUUUCUUUUACCUACAUAUCCAAUUCACCAGCAAUUCCUAUUAGUUCUGUGUUCAAAAUGGAUCUCAAAUCCAAAGCUUCUCAACUCUUCCACCCCUAUUACCUUUGACCAAACCACCCUAAACUCUUGUCUGGAUAAAAGCCUCUCUCUUGAGUCUUCCUUUCUCACUGCCACACCUUCCCACAAAACCCCAGUCUACUUUUAACAGAACAACCAUAGGGAUCCUUUCAAAGUAGAAGUGAGAUCUUGUCCCUCAUCAAUUCAAAACCCCCAAUGGCUUCCCCUCUCAUUCUGAGUAAGAGGCAAGUCCCUACAAUGGCCAAUAAGGCCUAACACAAUAUUAUUGGCCCCUCUCCCAUUACCAUUCCCCGGUCUCCUAUCUCUCACUCAUUCUGCUCCCAAGGUGAGCUUCCUCCUCCUUCCUCCAACAUGCCAAGCGCACUGCUGCCUCAGGUCUUUGCCUUCACUGUUCCUUCUCCUUGGAAUCUCCUUCCCCGAAAUAUCCACAGGCUUGCUCCCUAUUUCCUUCAGGUAUUUUGACCCAAUGUGCCCUUUAAGGCUGAAACCUUCUCAUCUCCACCCUGGCAUUCCUGAUUCUCCUUUCUGGUUUUCUUUUUCUCCAUUGCUUACCACCAUCUGAUGUCCUGUAUAUUCAAGUGUCUGCUUAUUCCCACUAGAAAUUUUGGAAGCUAGAUGAGGGCAAGAACUUUUUUGGUGUUUUGUUCACUGCUGUCCCCCUACAGCCUAGAGCAGGGCACAUAGUAAGUACCAAAUAAACACUUGCUGAAUGAAUGAAUGGAUGAUGUAGAUUAUGUUUUAAAAGCAUCUUUUCAUUGGCACUGUAUAGAGCAAACUUGUAGCAAAGGCAGCCCUGGGAAGUGUCACAGCUACAAUUUCAUUAACAUGCUCAGCUUCGGUACAGAUGACAUUCCAAAUCAGCUGGCUUCCUGGGGCCCAGGAAUCUUUUGAGUUGUGUCCAAUUUUAUAUCUCCUCCUGCCCCUAGGGUAACUUGUCAAAAACCUACUGGGUACCCCAUAGCUUGAAAAAGUGGGUAGCUAACUUUAAUUUCUGGCUGGAGUUGUUUGGAUGGGGCUGUAAAUGGGGACAUACAAGGGGAAACUGUUACCCUUGCUUUGCAGCUGUAGGCUCAUGUAUUCUUUACUGCAAAGAAGCAUGGAGCGGGCUGUCAUUAAAGACACUCAACCUGGUUUCUAGUGUCUGGUUCAAUUAAGAGAACUUCUAGGAAGAGACAUGACCAAAUAAAUAAUUGGAGAGAUGCAACUCUGAAAGGACAAUUGUUUUUUAUCGAUCUCUGUUUGCAAGUUGAAAUUGAGAGAUACAAACUUUAAGUGGAUGGGCUCUCCUGGGUGAGAGUCUUCACUUCAAACGCAGUAAAUGAGUGUUGUUUUGUGAUGCACAUUUUAGUACUGCUAGAGGUAAACUUUCUAAAUAUUAAUAAUAAUAAUAAACAAAUCCCUCUGCAACUGACAGCGAGUGCACAGAUGAACAGGGAUUUCCAGGAAACAGGCUGUUCUGGUCUUCUGGAUGUGGCAAAGUCUUCAUCAGAAGGGACAAGCUCCAGAACAACAGAAAGUGUGCCCCUCAUUACUUUGGAAUUCCCCUUUCAGGAGCACUGAGGGCAUGUGAGUUGAUUUUUAAUGGGUAAAAUUAAUCUCUUUAGAGCCAUCUCUAUUAUAAGGUAUUUUUUAGUUUGAAAUUAAUAGGAAACUAUGGAAUUAAAAGCUUCUAAUGCUAAGAGCUGUCAUUAGGAAGCGCAGUGACAAGGAUUCAAUAUACUGUGAGGUGCCACUGUACAAUAUGUGGGAUUUUUCAUGUCUCCUUGCCAUUGAGCUGUAGGUGACAACUGCAGGUAGAGCUUAGCUAGAAUGAAGCUGACACAUGCAAGCACUUGGCCCCUCUUGUUCCUGCUCCAUCACUCAGGCUGAGCAAGCAUCAGAUAGCUAACACGCCACUCAUAGGUACAUCUAGAGGGCUGGGUGGUGUGAUGGAAAGGACGUGGGCUUUGAAAUUAGAGACCUGAGUUUAAAUCCUCACUGUACCACCCACCAGCUAUAUAAGCAGAUGAUCUUACCCUAACCCCCCUCAGUUUCCACAUCUGACUCAAAUGAGGUUAAAAUAACUAUCUCGAAGGGUGGUUAGAGGUUUCAAGUGAGACAGUGUAUGGGAAGUACCUAGUAUAGUACCUGGCAUAGAGUGAGCAUCCCCAAAAUGAUAGCUAUUAGGAUUAUUAUUGUUGCUGUUGUUGUUAUUAUUAUUAUAAGAAGUAGCAUUAUGAAAUAGUAUUAUGGGGCUCAAAUUUAGCAGUCUACCAGGACUGGCCAGGGAGGGGCUUGUCACUGAGAUCAUUCAGGAUGAGGUGUGCAGCACUUCUAAAACACUGCAGAUGGUGAUGCUGUGGACUGCCCUGGGAACUGAAACUCCCUCCCGCCGAUGCUGCCCAAACUCCCACUGGCCUCAUCUGUUUACAAGCCCUGUAUUCUUGAUUGACAGAAGGAACAAUCUCCUAACCAUCUAUGGAAAGACUAAUCUUAUCUCACAGAGUCGUAACACCUUCAGGGUAGAAGAUACAACACACUUUGUUCUACAAAUGAGGAAAGUGAGGCCUAGGAGCUGUGUGUGCAGCCAAGCAGUGAGGAAGACCAAACUACACCUCCCAUCAAAUCAGAGUCAGUCAAUAAUGAUUUAAACCAAAAAGAAGUAUUGUCUGGGGAAACAGAAAAAUAAAAUUCACUCUCAGAAAUAUAAAUCACAAGUUGAAUGACAAACUUUUAUCACCAAUAAAAGAUUAAGAAAAAUAUAUUCAGCUCAUACUUCC